UACGAAGGAUCCAAGCGUUAUCCGGAUUCAUUGGGUUUAAAGGGUGCGUAGGCGGUUGGAUAAGUCAGUGGUGAAAUCCUGUCGCUUAACGAUAGAAUUGCCAUUGAUACUGUUUAACUGGAGUUCAGAUGAUGUUGGCGGAAUGUGUCAUGUAGCGGUGAAAUGCUUAGAUAUGACACAGAACACCGAUUGCGAAGGCAGCUGACAAAACUGAUACUGACGCUGAUGCACGAAAGUGCGGGGAUCAAACAGG
This 253-nucleotide ribosomal RNA is filed under the name uncultured bacterium. RNAcentral describes it as "partial 16S ribosomal RNA". It matches the Rfam family "Bacterial small subunit ribosomal RNA", at positions 524 to 776 of the family's 1533-position model. The record is from RNAcentral.